This 429-nucleotide ribosomal RNA is filed under the name bacterium. RNAcentral describes it as "partial 16S ribosomal RNA". It matches the Rfam family "Bacterial small subunit ribosomal RNA", at positions 355 to 776 of the family's 1533-position model. The record is from RNAcentral.
UAGGGAAUCUUCGGCAAUGGGGGCAACCCUGACCGAGCAACGCCGCGUGAGUGAAGAAGGUUUUCGGAUCGUAAAGCUCUGUUGUAAGAGAAGAACGUGUGUGAGAGUGGAAAGUUCACACAGUGACGGUAACUUACCAGAAAGGGACGGCUAACUACGUGCCAGCAGCCGCGGUAAUACGUAGGUCCCGAGCGUUGUCCGGAUUUAUUGGGCGUAAUGCGAGCGCAGGCGGUUUAAUAAGUCUGAAGUUAAAGGCAGUGGCUUAACCAGUGUUCGCUUUGGAAACUGUUAAACUUGAGUGCAGGAGAGGAAAGUGGAAUUCCAUGUGUAGCGGUGAAAUGCGUAGAUAUAUGGAGGAACACCGGUGGCGAAAGCGGCUUUCUGGUCUGUAACUGACGCUGAGGCUCGAAAGCGUGGGGAGCAAACAGG